This 75-nucleotide transfer RNA is filed under the name Escherichia coli. RNAcentral describes it as "tRNA-Val". It matches the Rfam family "tRNA". From Rfam's summary of the family: Transfer RNA (tRNA) molecules are approximately 80 nucleotides in length. Their secondary structure includes four short double-helical elements and three loops (D, anti-codon, and T loops). Lineage: Bacteria; Pseudomonadati; Pseudomonadota; Gammaproteobacteria; Enterobacterales; Enterobacteriaceae. The record is from RNAcentral.
GGGUGAUUAGCUCAACUGGGAGAGCACCUCCCUUACAAGGAGGGGGUCGGCGGUUCGAUCCCGUCAUCACCCACC